AAGCGUGGACGCCAGUCUGCGUGGAGCCGACCUUGAAAUACCACCCUUUAAUGUUUGAUGUUCUAACGUGGACCCGUAAUCCGGGUUGCGGACAGUGUCUGGUGGGUAGUUUGACUGGGGCGGUCUCCUCCUAAAGAGUAACGGAGGAGCACGAAGGUUGGCUAAUCCUGGUCGGACAUCAGGAGGUUAGUGCAAUGGCAUAAGCCAGCUUGACUGCGAGCGUGACGGCGCGAGCAGGUGCGAAAGCAGGUCAUAGUGAUCCGGUGGUUCUGAAUGGAAGGGCCAUCGCUCAACGGAUAAAAGGUACUCCGGGGAUAACAGGCUGAUACCGCCCAAGAGUUCAUAUCGACGGCGGUGUUUGGCACCUCGAUGUCGGCUCAUCACAUCCUGGGGCUGAAGUAGGUCCCAAGGGUAUGGCUGUUCGCCAUUUAAAGUGGUACGCGAGCUGGGUUUAGAACGUCGUGAGACAGUUCGGUCCCUAUCUGCCGUGGGCGCUGGAGAACUGAGGGGGGCUGCUCCUAGUACGAGAGGACCGGAGUGGACGCAUCACUGGUGUUCGGGUUGUCAUGCCAAUGGCACUGCCCGGUAGCUAAAUGCGGAAGAGAUAAGUGCUGAAAGCAUCUAAGCACGAAACUUGCCCCGAG
Molecule: ribosomal RNA, 644 nt
Filed under: Salmonella enterica subsp. enterica serovar Infantis
Lineage: Bacteria; Pseudomonadati; Pseudomonadota; Gammaproteobacteria; Enterobacterales; Enterobacteriaceae
Description: partial 23S ribosomal RNA
Rfam family: Bacterial large subunit ribosomal RNA
Source: RNAcentral